ACAACCUGCGACAACGGAUCUCUUGGCUCUGGCGUCGAUGAAGAACGCAGCG
Molecule: ribosomal RNA, 52 nt
Filed under: uncultured eukaryote
Lineage: Eukaryota
Description: partial 5.8S ribosomal RNA
Rfam family: 5.8S ribosomal RNA
About the family: 5.8S ribosomal RNA (5.8S rRNA) is a component of the large subunit of the eukaryotic ribosome.
Source: RNAcentral